AGAUUGAACGCUGGCGGCAGGCCUAACACAUGCAAGUCGAGCGGCAGCACGGGUACUUGUACCUGGUGGCGAGCGGCGGACGGGUGAGUAAUGCCUAGGAAUCUGCCUGGUAGUGGGGGAUAACGCUCGGAAACGGACGCUAAUACCGCAUACGUCCUACGGGAGAAAGCAGGGGACCUUCGGGCCUUGCGCGUAUCGAGAUGAGUCCUAGGUCGGAUUAGCUUAGGUUGGUGAGGUAAUGGCUCGACCGAAGGCGACGAUCCGUAA
This 267-nucleotide ribosomal RNA is filed under the name uncultured soil bacterium. Its description in RNAcentral is "partial 16S ribosomal RNA". It matches the Rfam family "Bacterial small subunit ribosomal RNA", at positions 26 to 286 of the family's 1533-position model. The record is from RNAcentral.